ACUAGCUAUGUGAACUUGGGCAAGUGACCUAAUCCUCUGCGUUUCAUCUCUAAAUUGGGGAGAAUAGAAGCAUCUAUUUCAUGUAGUAGCCAGGAUUAGAAGAGAUGGGGCCACUUGAGGGAAAAGACCUACCCAAGGGCACAUAAUCUGUACAUGAGAGAGAGCCAGAUGUAACAGACUGAGUACUGGACUUGGGGUUAAACAGAGUGUGAAUCCUUCCACCCCAUUGGGAGGAAUAACUGGGCACUGGAUAGAAUGUGAUGAAUGAAUAUUCUUAAUGAGAAGUGGAAAUAAUUUGUGGUUGAGAGCUAUGCCUCAGAUCAGAGUGACAGGAUACAUGGCUAGGCUAUAUUUUCCAGCAGAUUAAGAGCUGUAGCCCAAGACUCUGAAAUACGAAGAAAAAAGGAGAAGAUGACAGCAUAUCUUUUUAAAGAAAUAUUUUCCAGCCAAAUGGUGCAGCAGAGGACUUCCAGGAAUUUGUUCUUGUUCUCUAUCAAAGGUGAAGAGUUCAUAGCCUUCAAGGAAACAAGAAACCAUGGGAUGGAGUGAAGGAAGGUGGCCUGGAACCAGCCGCUGAGCCUCUCUGAGCCCCAGUUUCCUCAUCUCUAAAAUGGGGCUGAUCUCCUCUCCCUCAGAUUGUUGUUGCAGGAAUUGAAUGAGGUUUUGAGUGGGAAA
Molecule: long non-coding RNA, 675 nt
Filed under: Pongo abelii (Sumatran orangutan)
Lineage: Eukaryota; Metazoa; Chordata; Mammalia; Primates; Hominidae
Description: lincRNA
Source: RNAcentral